RNAcentral lists this long non-coding RNA (228 nucleotides) under Homo sapiens (human). RNAcentral describes it as "HSALNT0199887". Lineage: Eukaryota; Metazoa; Chordata; Mammalia; Primates; Hominidae. The record is from RNAcentral.
CUCACAACUUCACAAAGAAAGUGUAAUUGCUGCAGAAGUCUUUGUGCAACUGAGGAAGCCCAUCUCUAAGAACAAUGAUAAGAAACCCACCCUGAACUUUUUCAACAGGGCACAGUCUGGGGAUUUGAAGGCAUUCAGCAAAUGCUGUUCAACGAAGAAAUGAAUAAGAAGCUGUCAGAAUAUUUAAGACAUAUGGUGCAUAGGCCUCCCACCAAAGAAGUGACAGCA